RNAcentral lists this ribosomal RNA (1297 nucleotides) under uncultured bacterium. RNAcentral's name for it is "bacterial SSU rRNA". It matches the Rfam family "Bacterial small subunit ribosomal RNA", at positions 8 to 1306 of the family's 1533-position model. The record is from RNAcentral.
AGGGUUUGAUCAUGGCUCAGGACGAACGCUGGCGGCGUGCUUUAUACAUGCAAGUCGAACGAUGAAGUUCCUUCGGGAAUGGAUUAGUGGCGAACGGGUGAGGAACACGUGAGAAACCUGCCUUUCAUUCUGGAAUAACACCGGGAAACCGGUGCUAAUACCGGAUACUCCGUCUUGGCGGCAUCGCCGAGCCGGGAAAAAAUUUUGAUGAAAGAUGGUCUCGCGGCCUAUCAGCUAGUUGGUGAGGUAAUGGCUCACCAAGGCGACGACGGGUAGCUGGUCUGAGAGGAUGGCCAGCCACAUUGGGACUGCGACACGGCCCAGACUCCUACGGGAGGCAGCAGUGGGGAAUAUUGCGCAAUGGACGAAAGUCUGACGCAGCGACGCCGCGUGUGGGAUGAAGCCUUUCGGGGCGUAAACCACUGUUGCCCGGGACGAACCUCCCCUUUCGAGGGGACUGACGGUACCGGGUGAGGAAGCACCGGCUAACUCUGUGCCAGCAGCCGCGGUAAUACAGAGGGUGCGAGCGUUGUCCGGAAUCACUGGGCGUAAAGGGCGCGUAGGUGGCUGGGUAAGCGUGUGGUGAAAGUCCGGGGCUCAACCCCGGAUCUGCCGUGCGAACUGCCGAGCUUGAGCGAUGUAGAGGCAGGUGGAAUUUCGGGUGUAGCGGUGGAAUGCGUAGAGAUCCGAAAGAACACCAGUGGCGAAGGCGGCCUGCUGGGCAUCCGCUGACACUGAGGCGCGACAGCGUGGGGAGCAAACAGGAUUAGAUACCCUGGUAGUCCACGCCGUAAACGAUGGGUACUAGGUGUCUGGGAGAGCGACCCCCUGGGUGCCGGCGCUAACGCAUGAAGUACCCCGCCUGGGGAGUACGGCCGCAAGGCUGAAACUCAAAGGAAUUGACGGGGGCCCGCACAAGCGGUGGAGCAUGUGGUUUAAUUCGACGCAACGCGAAGAACCUUACCUAGGCUUGACAUGCUGGAGAAAGCUUGCGGAAACGUGAGCCCCUUCUUCGGAGUUCCAGCACAGAUGCUGCAUGGCUGUCGUCAGCUCGUGUCGUGAGAUGUUGGGUUAAGUCCCGCAACGAGCGCAACCCUCACCCUUAGUUACCAGCGGGUAAAGCCGGGGACUCUAGGGGGACUGCCGGUGCCAAACCGGAGGAAGGUGGGGAUGACGUCAAGUCAUCAUGGCUCUUACGUCUAGGGCUACACACGUGCUACAAUGGGCCAGACAGAGGGCUGCCAACUCGCGAGAGUGCGCCAAUCCCCAAACUGGUCCUCAGUUCGGAUUGUAGUCU